AUACGAAAGGUGCAAGCGUUGUUCGGAAUUACUGGGCGUAAAGCGCGCGUAGGCGGUCUGUUAUGUCAGAUGUGAAAGUCCUCGGCUCAACCGGGGAAGUGCAUUUGAAACUGGCAGACUUGAGUACUGGAGGGGGUGGUGGAAUUCCCGGUGUAGAGGUGAAAUUCGUAGAUAUCGGGAGGAAUACCGGUGGCGAAGGCGACCACCUGGCCAGAUACUGACGCUGAGGUGCGAAAGCGUGGGGAGCAAACAGCAUUAGAAACCCUAGUAGUCC
Molecule: ribosomal RNA, 274 nt
Filed under: uncultured bacterium
Lineage: Bacteria
Description: partial 16S ribosomal RNA
Rfam family: Bacterial small subunit ribosomal RNA
Source: RNAcentral